RNAcentral lists this small RNA (972 nucleotides) under Oryza sativa Japonica Group (Japanese rice). RNAcentral's name for it is "sRNA Os01g0178775". The record is from RNAcentral. Lineage: Eukaryota; Viridiplantae; Streptophyta; Magnoliopsida; Poales; Poaceae.
GCCGCCUAAGUCAGCCUUGCAAAGAGGGCACAGUGCGUUUAUCUUGAGCCAUUUAUCGACGCAUUCCAAGUGGAAAACAUGAUUGCAGGGAAGCUCCCGUAGAUCUUCGUUGUUUGAGAACUUUGACAAGCAGAUGCAGCAUACCUGCAGAGCCCAGAGAUCCAUAGGUUUCGCUCUUUGUCUGUUCCAGCUGCCAAUACUCCACCAUUAUCUUCUCCCGCUUCUCCAUCUUGAAACUUUUUCGAUUGGAACUUGUAUGCCACCAAGGCAUCGAUUGCUUCUGCAGUAGCGCCUCUGUUAAAAUCCAAAUCCUCGUGGAUGCCCAUCAUGGAGAUAAUGCAGGGUAGGCAGCAGCAUAUCAUUGUACAUAGGAUGAAAGGCAGGGCAUAGCCGAUGAAGCCGAAUGCAAGGAAUACUAUGCACAGCCUGAAAAAUGAUCACUAACAAAUGAGUAAACAUCUAAAGAAGUACGGCCCCCGAAUAUCCACACAUUCCCAACAACAAACCACACAGCAAAGAAACAAUCCAGAGCCAAUUUGAAGCACGCAACCAAUGCAUAAUGCUACCUUGGACUUGCAAUCCUUGCUACUCCACCAUUAUUACCACUGUCCACAACUUCUGAUCCAUGAGCAGACGAAACUACUACAUAAGAAUUAGGCUCAUAUACGUCCCUUUCAGAUGAAACCUGAUUUGUUGAUUCUUGCUCUGUGUUCUGCCGAUUGCGGUGGAGAAAUCGCCAAUAAAGGUGAGGAAGAGUAGCAACACAACCUAUCGUAUAACCAAUAAGCCACUGAGCCAAAGGAGCAUGAGGAUGCUCGUUCCUUGAUACUGACAGGACAGUAAUAGCUGCUAUAAUCUGGCUUAAACUUACAAUAAGCUCAAUUGAGAUCCAGAAGCCAGAAUUCAAAGGAUUUGGUUGACGGUGUCCUUGAUCUCUUCUUGCAAAAGAAGCGUUUCGGGAGAUAGAUGCAG